Brienomyrus brachyistius is the source of this 5019-nucleotide long non-coding RNA. RefSeq lists it as uncharacterized. The record is from RefSeq and is a predicted model, not a curated record. NCBI's taxonomy places the organism in Eukaryota, Metazoa, Chordata, Actinopteri, Osteoglossiformes, Mormyridae. The transcript is spliced from 3 exons.
GUUUGCCCGGUGUUUGGAGGAAAUGAUGGAGAUGUCAACAUAUAAGAAAACGUCCGACAACUUACUCUGUUCAUUUUCAUUUAUUUAUACUUUUAAACCUUUCGUUUAGUUACCUAUCCGCUGUGACCGGCUUCAGCUGCAAUAGGUCACGAUAAUUGCGAGACUGUCCACGGAGCUCCUUUGUUUCUAUCAUUUCUUAGUCAACACGUUAGUUGCACGUUUCGUUUUUUUACCCAGAUAAAGCGUCAGUAGACGUAACGGGGUAAACUAACAUUCUGCAUUAGUACACCGUGUGCAUAUUCGAGAAUAUAUAUAUAUUUUGGGACACAUGUUUUUAAGAAACAUUUGAAUUUUUCCUUUCUAGUCCUGUUCUGCCCCAGUGCCUUGUCGUGUAUCUGCUCUUCAUUUUGCUGCAUCUCCACCGUGAAGAGGGAACUGAAACCGUUCAUUUUGCAAUGCCUUUAUAAAAAGGCUUCCUGGGCAUUCAUUUGUUUUGGGAAAAUCGUCUUUGGGUAAAAGGUUAGUCUUUAUCUGUUCAAAUCCUUGGGUUUGGUUAAUGUGUGUUAAUCAACACAGAAACGAAAAAGUUUUGAAGAACUGCACUAGUACGUAUCUGAGGCAAACAUCCUCUGUGAAUCGAUUUGUAUGCUUUAUGCAUAGCUUCUGUGUCAUGGAGAUUCGGUAAAUGCCGGGGAGAGGGACACGAAGAUGUGAAGCAUGUCACUGACUGGUGCAGCACUCAUGUCACCCCGCCAGUUUUGGGGGUUUGAGUCCCGUCUCCGCUGUGUGUGUGAGGAGUUUGCAUCUUCACCCUUUGCCAUGUGAGUUUCCUCCAGGUGCCCCCCAGUCCAAAGACAUGCAGUUAGUUUAUCCAGCCACUGUAAAUUGCACGUAGUGUUUGAAUCUAUGUAUGGUGUGUAUGUGUGAUAUGUGCUGUGCCAUGGACCGGAAUUUCCAUCCAGUGUGUGCCCCAUGAAGCUGGGGGCAGGCCACAUGACCCCCAUCCUGUAAGCCUGUCCAGAAUAAGCAACUGAUGGAUUAGUAGAUAGGAGGGCGGACAGACUGUUUGUUGGAUGGUUUUAAGAUGACUUCUGCCAUGAAAACUAGUAAUGAAUAGUAUGUUUUAUUUUUAAAAACGACGACAUAGAAGUUUUACCUGUCGUGUAAUGAAUGUCAUGAUUGACCGUCACGUUUUUAUUUGGAAGAUCAUCUGCAUGCAAUUUGCUUUUGAAAUGCAUAUCUUGAUUUAGGUGUUUACAUGUGCUUGUAUUUCUGUUAUUUCAUUAGUAAACAUCUUGAUGUGAAUUGUCAUUGACUUUGGAUAUUAAUUAGAAAAACCUUUCUGGGUGAACCUUUUACAGAAUAAAUGUAAUAUAUUGUCAUAUGGGAUACCUUAACAUGAAUUUAUAUGUAGGUGCAGCCAGGAUAUGUAUAGCUCAUAAUCUGUUGAUGAAUGUUACCUUCUACUUGACUUUGGUGUAUUUUAAACAUUAGCGUCGCUCAAGUAAGUCUGUUUUGAAUGAUCCAUUAUGCAUAGUAGCUCCUGAUCUCUGUGAUAUUUCUACCUUUUUGACGUCAGUUGCCAUUUGUAAUUGUUACCCAGGCAACGGCCAGCCUCCCCUAGAGAUAAGUCGAGGGGAUAAGACCACUCUGAUUUUUUUUCCCUCCCUUUUUAGGUUUAAAUCAGUUUCUAUGUAUCGGUAAUUUAAUUUCGUUUCACUUCUGUAUUACAUCUCCAAUCUGAUAUCUACUCAUUUUGUUCAGAUCAGUUUCUUGCUAGUUCCCCAUUUUAAGGUGUUGCAUCCAACACACAGUAUAGCAUCUAUAGUAUUUAUUUUUGUUCUGCUGAGUGCAGGAAUAUCGUAACGACAUCUCAGUUUACGGACAGUUGUUGCCUUUAUGUAUGGCCUCUUACUUGCCCCCAUUCCUUGUGUUUGCAAGCGGUGCUUCAGUAAUGUCAGAUUAACUUUUAUCAGAAAACGGUAGGACCAGCCAGACCAGAUAGCAGCUAUGACUUUUUUUUUAAUGCAGAUGUUCCCCUGGUUGCACAAGCUGUUGUGUAUAGCCAAAGCACCUUCACCUAUGGUGUACGCUUAAGAAGUAAGCCAACACGGCUGUACACAACACCAAGCUUCGGGGCUAUUUAUAGCCUGUGCUCUAUGCUUUUUUUUAGCAACCAAGCUAUUGAUGUGCUCCUCCCUUACAAAUGUUUUUUUUUUUUUUUUGCAUGACAAAAAUUGAUCUAAGAUUAGAUUAAUAGGAGUUGCUGAAUGCGCCUGACCAAAAUAAAGGCUGUCUGAUUCAAUUAACUUUUUUUAAAGAUUAUGGAAGAAAUUAUACAGCCUCUCCCAAGGUUAAAAUGGGGUUACGUUCCGAUAAACCUAUCGUAAGUCAAAAAUAUUGUAAAUGCAUUUUAAUGCAGUUCACCUAACCCAACAAACAACAUAGCCUAGCCGAGCCCACCUUAAACACUUAGAACACUUACAUUAGCUUACAGUUGGGCAAAAUCAUUAACACAAAGCCUAUUUUAUAAUAAAGUGUUGAAUAUCUCAUUUAUUGAAUACCGUACUGAAUGUGAAAAACAUUUACCUAUCGUAAAGUCGAAAUAUCGUAACACAGAUCAUCCUGGGGAACAUCUGUGCCCUAUAAUUGCUUCAUACCAAAAUGCUUCAAGGAUCUGCAGCACUGUAACUCUGAUAGCAGUAAAACACCGUAAGGAAGUGGGAUGUCCUUCAAUGUACAGAGAACAUGCAUUCAAAUCACAUAGCAUCAGGUGCAUCGGAGGGGCAUGGGACCCCUGACAGAUUCAGGGAGACCAACAUCUGACAGGGACCCUUGGAUACAUAAAGGUAUUACGCAGAAUUGGGAGGGGAUCCUGCUUAGCAGAUAUCUAUUUACCUUUAAUAUAGAUGUAUAAAGGGGUAGAAAAUGUGUCAUGAAUAUAUCAUAAAUGUUGCAAAUGAAAGAUUGCAUAGUUUGUAUUGUAUCACAUCCAUCCAUCCAUAUUCCAAACUGCUUAUCCUACUGGGUUGUGGGGGGUCCGGAGCCUAUCCCGGAGCCUAUCCCGGAAGCAAUGGGCACGAGGCAGGGAACAACCCAGGAUGGGGGGCCAGCUCAUCGCAGGGCACACUCACACACCACCAUGCCACCCCUAUUGUAUCACAUGUGGGUAUUAAUCUAAAACUAAAAUAUAAAUAUGCAGUAAAGUUAUAACACCAACUUUAAUAUUUAUUAUACUGUUUCCAGUAUAGGGGCGGCAUGGUGGUGGAGUGGUUAGCACUGUUGCCUCACACCUCUGGGACCCGGGUUCGAGUCUCCACCUGGGUUGUUCCCUGCCUCGUGCCCAUUGCUUCUGGGAUAGGCUCCGGACCCUCCGCGACCCAGUAGGAUAAGCAGUUUGGAAAAUGGAUGGAUGUUUCCAGUCUAACUCCACACAUACUGGUAGGAGUAGUUUCAUCCUAGUUUCAUCACAAGCAGCAUGAGGCGACAGAGCAAGAGAAUGGGCCAAAAUCUCACCUGGACACUCUGAGGCUGGCUACUGUGUACAGAAAGCAUCUCCAAGCUGUCAUUGUAAACAGCAAAGGCUUCCCCACUAUGUAUUAUAUAUAUUUUACUUACCGUUUCCAUGAGUCUAUCCACUUUUCUAUGGAUUGGAAUGUUACGUUAUUUCCCCCAAUGUAUGAACCAGAGUGAUUGUGCGGUGAUUAUGCUAUUUAAUGUUUUUAAAUACUUACAGUAUUUACAAGUGUAGCAUUACUGCUAUUAAUUUUCCAUGUGUUGCAUUUUUUUUCAUAUGCCUGAAGCAUAUUCAGUUAUAUAAUUUAAGAGGGUCAUGUUAUAAAUUGUAUUCAUGCAUUGUAUUGUCAAACAAUGUUUUCACCUCUACAUUAAUAUAUUUGAAUACAAGGACUAUUUAUGUAGUGCAUUAAUUAAACUGGAUUAUGUUGGGGAAACUAUUUAGGUUGUUCUUAUAAUAAUAAAAAAAUGAUUAAAUUACGCUGGAAAUACCAUUCUAGAACUCUCAAUAUUUUGUGACAUCAGUUCACAAGUAGGAACUUACUUCUCACAUUUGGCAUGCUCUGAUGAACAAUGUGACUGGAAAGCAGCUUGCCAUUUUCAGUAUUACGAUGGUCAAUCUGUUGCCACCUGCAUUAAGCAAGAUUUAAUCUGCCCCCCCCCCCAAUGGCAAUUCAAAAGGGACCAACAAGAGCUGGCUCUCUUUCAUCUCUUCAUCAUUGAUUACAAGUCUCACAGAGAUGAGGGAAAGACCCUCCCACUGUGCACUUUUAUUGGCUGCAUUAACAAUUCAGGAGUUCCUAAUGGGGGAAAAAGGAAUAAAUAAAUACAAAUAUUAUCACGUCCAGGUUUAAACUGUUUGAUGUGGUGCUCUAAUGUAAAUAAGUCUAUAAAAUAUUACUGUUUGUAACUUUGAAAGGCUCUGUGUUUCAAACAGGGUCGGAUUCAAGUUUAUUUCAGAGAUAGCAGUCUCUCAUUGGUAAAUGGAGUCUUGAUUUCUGUGUGUUCACACUAAAUGUGUUCAGGGAGUGUAACUUCAUGUUUUAUUAGUUUUUUUUUUCCAUUUUUACUGCUCUAGGUAUGAAAACAAAUGGGUAAUACUUUACUUGAUGGGUAAUACUUUACAAAUGGGUAAUACUUUACUUGACGGGUAAUACUUUACUUGACGGGUAAUACUUUACUUGACGGGUAAUACUUUACAAAUGGGUAAUACUUUACUUGAGGGGACACAAAUCACGUAGUAGUAAGUUCACACCUAAUGUAUUAACCAAAAACGAAGUGAUCUCAUCUUUAUUCAUCAAUCAAUGAUGUAUUUCAUACAGUUAUUUUUCAUGAUUUGUGCUUGAGUAGUAACCGAGUUAUUAAGUGUUACCAAGACAUGUAUUGUAUAUUUAAGAGAGUUGUCUCUGUAUAAUACUAUGGACUGACCUCUUUUAUUACAACCAUAAUGUAGUACCAUUUGGCUUAAUUAUACUUCAUAAUUAUACUUUAUAUGAAACAAUA